UUCGCAAUGCCCGAAAGGGUGACGAAGCGACGCCGCGUGUGGGAAGAAGGCCUUCGGGUUGUAAACCACUGUCGGGAGUUAAGAAAUGUAAGGGUGUUAAUAGCGCCUUUACUUGACAAAGGCUCCGGAGGAAGCCACGGCUAACUCUGUGCCAGCAGCCGCGGUAAUACAGAGGCGGCAAGCGUUGUUCGGAAUUAUUGGGCGUAAAGAGCACGUAGGCGGCUUUGCAAGUCAGUUGUGAAAGCCUUCCGCUUAACGGAAGAACAGCAGCUGAUACUACAGAGCUUGAGUACGGGAGGGGAGAGUGGAACUUCUGGUGGAGCGGUGAAAUGCGUAGAUAUCAGAAGGAACGCCGGCGGCGAAAGCGAUUCUCUGGUCCGAAACUGACGCUGAGUGUGCGAAAGCUAGGGGAUCAAACGGGAUUAGAUACCCCGGUAGUCCCAGCCGUAAACGAUGGGCACUAAGUAGAGGGGUUUU
RNAcentral lists this ribosomal RNA (477 nucleotides) under uncultured Planctomycetota bacterium. Its description in RNAcentral is "bacterial SSU rRNA". It matches the Rfam family "Bacterial small subunit ribosomal RNA", at positions 365 to 832 of the family's 1533-position model. Lineage: Bacteria; Pseudomonadati; Planctomycetota. The record is from RNAcentral.